CUGCAGUCGAACGGUAGCAGGAAGUGCUUGCACUUUGCUGACGAGUGGCGGACGGGUGAGUAAUGCUUGGGAACUUGCCUUUGCGAGGGGGAUAACAGUUGGAAACGACUGCUAAUACCGCAUAAUGUCUACGGACCAAACGGGGCUUAGGCUUCGGCGCAGAGAGAGGCCCAAGUGAGAUUAGCUAGUUGGUGGGGUAAAGGCUCACCAAGGCGACGAUCUCUAGCUGUUCUGAGAGGAAGAUCAGCCACACUGGGACUGAGACACGGCCCAGACUCCUACGGGAGGCAGCAGUGGGGAAUAUUGCACAAUGGGGGGAACCCUGAUGCAGCCAUGCCGCGUGUGUGAAGAAGGCCUUCGGGUUGUAAAGCACUUUCAGUUGUGAGGAAAAGUGAGUAGUUAAUACCUGCUCACCGUGACGUUAACAACAGAAGAAGCACCGGCUAACUCCGUGCCAGCAGCCGCGGUAAUACGGAGGGUGCGAGCGUUAAUCGGAAUUACUGGGCGUAAAGCGCACGCAGGCGGUUUGUUAAGCUAGAUGUGAAAGCCCCGAGCUCAACUUGGGAUGGUCAUUUAGAACUGGCAGACUAGAGUCUUGGAGAGGGGAGUGGAAUUCCAGGUGUAGCGGUGAAAUGCGUAGAUAUCUGGAGGAACAUCAGUGGCGAAGGCGACUCCCUGGCCAAAGACUGACGCUCAUGUGCGAAAGUGUGGGUAGCGAACAGGAUUAGAUACCCUGGUAGUCCACACCGUAAACGCUGUCUACUAGCUGUUUGUGGCUUUAAGCCGUGAGUAGCGAAGCUAACGCGAUAAGUAGACCGCCUGGGGAGUACGGCCGCAAGGUUAAAACUCAAAUGAAUUGACGGGGGCCCGCACAAGCGGUGGAGCAUGUGGUUUAAUUCGAUGCAACGCGAAGAACCUUACCUACACUUGACAUGCAGAGAACUUUCCAGAGAUGGAUUGGUGCCUUCGGGAACUC
This 976-nucleotide ribosomal RNA is filed under the name Alteromonas sp. RNAcentral describes it as "bacterial SSU rRNA". It matches the Rfam family "Bacterial small subunit ribosomal RNA", at positions 55 to 1029 of the family's 1533-position model. The record is from RNAcentral. Lineage: Bacteria; Pseudomonadati; Pseudomonadota; Gammaproteobacteria; Alteromonadales; Alteromonadaceae.